UAGUCCACGCCGUAAACGAUGAUCACUAGAUGUGGGUUUCGCUUAGCGAGAUCCGUGUCGAAGCUAACGCGUUAAGUGAUCCGCCUGGGGAGUACGGUCGCAAGAUUAAAACUCAAAGGAAUUGACGGGGGUCCGCACAAGCGGUGGAACAUGUGGUUUAAUUCGACAAUACGCGAGGAACCUUACCUAGACUUGACAUGUGCCUGAUCACCUCCCAAAAGAGGUUUUCUAAGUUUACUUAGACAGGUUCACAGGUGCUGCAUGGCUGUCGUCAGCUCGUGUCGUGAGAUGUUGGGUUAAGUCCUUUAACGAGCGCAACCCUUGCCGUUAGUUGCUACUCUUCGGAGGCACUCUAGCGGGACUGCCUGGGGAACCAGGAGGAAGGUGGGGAUGACGUCAAGUCCUCAUGGCCCUUAUGUCUAGGGCUACACACGUGUUACAAUGGCGAGUACAAAGGGAAGCAAGCCUGCGAAGGCAAGCGAACCUCAGAAAGCUCGUCUAAGUUCGGAUUGGAGU
This 516-nucleotide ribosomal RNA is filed under the name uncultured bacterium. RNAcentral's name for it is "bacterial SSU rRNA". It matches the Rfam family "Bacterial small subunit ribosomal RNA", at positions 791 to 1304 of the family's 1533-position model. The record is from RNAcentral.